GGAGAGUUCGCAUAGUGGUCUAGUGCGCACGCUUGGAAAGCGUGUGUGGGGCAACCCACCAGGAGUUCGAAUCUCCUACUCUCCGCCA
This 88-nucleotide transfer RNA is filed under the name Candidatus Altimarinota bacterium. RNAcentral's name for it is "tRNA-Ser". It matches the Rfam family "tRNA". Rfam says of the family: Transfer RNA (tRNA) molecules are approximately 80 nucleotides in length. The record is from RNAcentral. Lineage: Bacteria; Candidatus Altimarinota.